CCUACGGGUGACAGCAGUGAGGAAUAUUGGUCAAUGGGCUUACGCCUGAACCAGCCAAGUCGCGUGAGGGAAGACUGCCCUAUGGGUUGUAAACCUCUUUUGUCAGGGAGCAACGCCGGCUACGUGUAGCCGGACUGAGAGUACCUGAAGAAAAAGCAUCGGCAAACUCCGUGCCAGCAGCCGCGGUAAUACGGAGGAUGCGAGCGUUAUCCGGAUUUAUGGGGUUUAAAGGGUGCGUAGGCGGAAUGCCAAGUCAGCGGUAAAAUCGCGGGGCUCAAUCUCGCGCCGCCGUUGAAACUGGCGUUCUUGAGUGGGCGAGAGGUAUGCGGAAUGCGUGGUGUAGCGGUGAAAUGCAUAGAUAUCACGCAGAACUCCGAUUGCGAAGGCAGCAUACCGGCGCCCAACUGACGCUGAAGCACGAAAGCGUGGGUAUCGAACAGGAUUAGAUACCCUAGUAGUC
RNAcentral lists this ribosomal RNA (460 nucleotides) under uncultured bacterium. Its description in RNAcentral is "partial 16S ribosomal RNA". It matches the Rfam family "Bacterial small subunit ribosomal RNA", at positions 338 to 795 of the family's 1533-position model. The record is from RNAcentral.